This 420-nucleotide long non-coding RNA is filed under the name Helianthus annuus (common sunflower). The record is from RNAcentral. Lineage: Eukaryota; Viridiplantae; Streptophyta; Magnoliopsida; Asterales; Asteraceae.
UCUAUUAUCUAUAUUAAAACAAAACACUUUGGUGCCACCUGGCAUUUGCUUAGGUUGCUUGAUGACACGUGGCAUCUCAUCCUCUCCUCUUUUUUUCCUUUGAGCGGCAAAUAUUUCUUCCUUCCUACGCUCUUUUUGUUUUUGAAACCGCCAGAAUUUUGGAAACUAAUCAAUUCUCUCAAUCAAUUGAAAUCAUUAUCCACCCAAACCCUAAAUCAUUAUUUCAACGGUUUCUCUCUGGCUUCACUCUACAUCCUCUUCAAAUCAAACUUGGAUCCAUGGAUUAUUUUCAAUGAAGAAUCUAACUAAUGUUGUAAGUUAUUAUCAUUCAGAUGAAAUUCAUGGUUGAUAUAGAACUUUGGAUCCCAUAUGCUUUCUAUCCAUAUGUUGUUGUUGAGGAAGAUUCAGGCGCUGGUGUUA